CGUUUGUCCUUCAACGAAUUCUAUCACCAUAGAUUCCUGAGAAGGAAUAGUGCAAUACUAAGGGCACCUUUUCAGAUCCCAUAACCCUGGGUCUCUGACUUCCCUUGUAUAUUGAAUUGGGCAUCCUUAAUUAUAUUUCCUUUGACACCUGCUUCAGCAUAUCAGUUGCUUCUCAGAUUGCUAAUAUUUCUACAUUGCAGAUAUUGUUGACCUCAUAUACAUUGACAUCAGUCAAGGUUGUCUUCAUUGUAUCUUUUGGGGAACAUUCAUAAUUCCGUGUAAUUCAGUUACAAUACUUGUUUACCAGUCUAGUGCAUUAAGAAAGAAUUUUUCCCUUGGUUUUAUUCAUCAUCACCAAGGUUUAGCCAUCUAGGAGUCCCUCUUGCUUCUUACAUGUCAACCCAAGUUAUUUAUAACGUUUUGAAUCUGUCCAAAAGCGACGGUUGCCUAAAACCGGCUUGAGAUUUUGCCUCUGUAAAUUAAGUGGUGGCUAGGUGUUUGCUCUUAUCAGAAUGUAUUCAUAACUCUGUAAAAGUAAUGUAUACUCAGUUGCUCUAUAUAUUUUGUGGUUGAUGAAUACGUCUGUCUAUAUAAUUACUUUCAUUAAAAUUUAAAACAGCCAUAGCCAAUCAUGGAAAAAGUAAUUGUACUCGUGCAAAGUUUUGCUGGACAGGUGAACAAAACGUGAUAUAUAUGUUUUAAUAUGUUGCCAUAGAGCUACAUAGUCAUGUAGCACAAACGAAGCAAAAACCCACUACAAGAUUUUACCCAAGGAGGCUGUGGGGCAAGGAGGAGUCGCAACGUCUGCGAUCCCUUAUAACAUCAUCACCGCGCACUUCAUAGGACGAAGAGCAGGUUCAUCUUGAACGCACCAAAGGCCCACCUUGACCAAGUUCUCCAAAUUCUUCUUGUCUACUUUUGUGCCACGGACAAGCUUAUUCAACUCUCUAUUAAUGAAGCACUUGUAAACCCAAUUGGUAAGAAUGAUUUCCUCUGGUUUUGAUGCAUCAAUCUCCAUGUUUUUCCUGCAGCAAAUAGUUUCCAGGAGCACUAUUCCAUAGCCAUAAACAUCUGCUUUUACUGAUAUUGGAGUUCUCUUGUAACAUUCCGGCGCCAUGUAACCCUUGUCCCUCUUAUCAAUGACAAAGUCCUCAUUUGGUCUGGCACCAACAAUUUCGCUAGUCCAAAAUCUAAGAUUUUCGCAGUCCAAAAUUCAUCCAUCAGAAUGUUCUGAGGCUUUAUGUCACAAUGAAGGAUAGGUGGUUCACACUCAUCAUGGAGAUAGAGGAUUCCUUUAGCAACAUCUAAUGCAAUUCUGACUCUUUGAUUCCAAUAGGGGUUUCUUUCAGCGCUACAAAAUAUGAUAUCUGUAAGGGAGCCAUUUCUCACGGGCCGCUCAAUUUUGCCACUAACGGAGGUUAAUUUCGCGCGCACGGGUACGUUUAGCAAAAGUCCUCCUCGAAUUCGAGUGCACUUAGAAACCGAGAUGCACUUAGCACAAAAGGCGGGAUGCACUUAGAAGUGGGCCGCCAACAUAUUAAGUCUUCCGUGGUGUGCUUAGAAAAUCACCCACCAAGGCCCAAGAUCUAUAAAUAGGGAUGAGCCCCCUCAUUGGGCCACUAACAACCACACACACAAGCUCUCUAGCUCUCUUGUAAUUUAUUCUUUGUGUGUAAUAAAAUAUAUUUUGGCCAUAUUGCUCUCUUCUCUCUAGCAUUUUCCACAAAGCAUUCUUGCUUAGCUAGUUGAGAAGUUCGGAAAGGCUUACUUAGCGACUUAUAUGCUAAAAGUCGCCUAAGUGUUGCGUGGGUUGCUGCGCAAUAAAACUCAUCCCGUGACAAGUGGUAUUAGAGCUAAGGUUUGCACCCAUGCAAACUAGCUUAACGAGCAAUGGCCAAUCCUCCUAGCAUAACACAAGAGGGCGUAGUCGGUGUGGAGGUAUCGGAGCAAACACGUGGCCGUGAGGAGGGACGCGCACAAGCUAAGUCCUGCGGCAAGUCCAAGGCCGCUUCCGUAGACACCUUGGAGCCUCGCAUGGCCACGCUCAAGACUUCAAUGUCCGCUGUCCAGGACACCCUCGAUACUUUGGAGGUGAGGGUCAAUGGUCUCAAGGGCAAGUAUGGUGAGUUCGCCAAGGCCCUCAUGCAAGACCAAGCCGACUUACUCCAAGGGGAGUUUCGAGCAUUGAAAGAUGAUCUGUAGAAGUUACUUAGCUUCGUACAAAGCGAGCUACGAGCGAUCAGUGCAGAGGUUGACGAAGUCUGCUCGGAUUGGGCUUGGCACAAGCGCACACGCACACCUAGCCCAGCUUCCGCAAGCACAAGUGAUGCACGCUGGAUCGACGUGCGAAAGCCGGACACCUACAAUGGUGCACGCAAUGCCACUAUCUUCGACAACUUCCUAUUUGGGCUAGAGCAAUACAUGGAUGCCAUGGAUGUUCGCGAUGAGGCAUCGAAGGUAGGCACUGCGCCUACAUUCUUACGAGGCGCCACACAACUAUGUCGGCGGCGGAAGCAUGGCGACAUGGGUAAGGGCAUUUGUGCCAUCAAUACAUGGGCCGAGUUCCAACGUGAACUCCACAAGCACUUUGCCCCGAGCAACGCGGAGAAGGAAGCUCGAGCGCCUAUGUUGGCUCAAGCAAACGGGCGGCGUCCGUAAUUAUAUCAACGACUUCACUACUCUCAUACUUGAGAUCUCUGACAUGUCCGAUAAGGACUCUCUCUUCUACUUCCAAGAUAGCCUCAAGAAUUGGGCGAAGGUGGAACUUGACAGGCGUGGCGUACAAACUCUCGAUGACGCCAUCACCAUUGCAGAAUCACUUGCCGAUUACUCCACACAGCCCAAGGACAAGAGGCCUAGCCAUGGUAAAGGUGGGGGAGAGGGUCGGAAGGACAAGGGCCAUAAUCGGAAGGAGUGGGGGCAGAAAAAGCCUCCAAGCGGCAAGAGCGGGCAAAGUAAAUCGGAGAAACAACAGCCACCCAAGCCUCAAAGCCCAUGCUUCAUAAGCAAUGCCCCCAUUGGGUCCGCAACUGUCCGGAGAAAAAGUCGCCCAAUGCUCUAGCAGCCUAACUCAAGGGCAACUCAACACCGUCGACGGAGGAACCCCAACACAACAUGGGUACCCUCCAACGCCUCGGCGCACUCAAGAGCCACUCGCCAGCACCUACGAAGAAAGGGCUCAUGUAUGUGAGUGUGUCUAUUAAUGGACAAGUCGUGCAUGCCUUGCUCGACACCAGAGCGACGCACAACUUCAUUUCGGAAGAUGAGGCCAAGUGCCUAAGCCUCAAGGUGAUGAAGGAAUGAGGCACCUUGAAGGCGAUAAACUCACCUGCUAAGCCCAUUGCGGGCACCGCAAGAGGCGUGCGGGUAAUACUCAGAGCGUAGAGCGGAAGCUCGAUUUCUCCAUCGUACCCAUGGAUGACUUCAAGAUGGUCCUCGGCAUGGAGUUCUUCGAUCAAGUCCAUGCCUUCCCGCUAUCGGCCACAAACUCCCUAAGUAUCCUCGAUGGGAGUAUGGCGUUCAUGGUUCCAGCCGAGUGCUCGAAGAUCGCGGACAAGACGCUCUCGACCAUGCAGUUCAAAAAGAGUUUCCGGAAAGACCCAAGCUUCUUAGUCUCCAUCUGGGAGCUAAAUGAUGGAGAAGAUCGUAGUGAGUCACCGAGCCAAGUCCCUCCUCUAAUCCAAGGAGUACUCAAUGAAUUCAAGGACGUCAUGCCUCCGGAACUUCCGAAGAAGCUCCUACCAAGACGUGAAGUGGAUCACGAGAUCGAAUUGGAGCAAGGCGUGAAACCUCCAGCCUUGGCGCCCUACUGGAUGGCGCCGCCCGAACUCGAGGAGUUACGAAGACACCUCUAAGACUUAUUAGAUACGGGCUACAUCCGCCCAUCAAAGGCUCCAUUCGGUGCACCCGUGUUCUUCUAAAAGAAGAAAGACGGAUCACUUUGGAUGUGCAUCGACUAUCGGGAUCUCAACAAGAUCACUAUCAAGAGCAAGUAUUUGAUCCCUUUGAUCGUGGAUUUGUUUGACCAGCUUGGCAAGGCGCGGUACUUCACCAAGCUUGAAUAGUGGUCCGGGUACUACCAAGUGCGCAUCGCCAAGGGAGAUGAGCCAAAAAAGGCGUGCAUAACCAGAUACAGAUCUUUCGAGUUCCUUGUCAUGCCUUUUGGCCUCACCAAUGCACCGGCCACGUUUUGCACCCUUAUGAACAAGGUUCUCCAACCUUUCCUCGACCGCUUCGUCGUUGUGUACUUGGAUAAAAUAGUGGUGUAUAACACCACACUCGAGGAGCACGCCCAACACUUGCGGCAAGUUCUCCAAGUACUGCGCAACAACGAGCUCUACCUCAAGAUGGAGAAAUGUUGGUUUGCCCAAUGGGAGGUAGAGUUCCUUGGCCACAAAUAACGAAAGGGAAGUUGAUGAUGGAGAACUCAAAGGUGAAGGCCAUCCUCGAGUGGGAACCUCCUACCAAGGUACUCGAAUUUUCUGUCUUUUCUCGGAUUGGUGAAUUACUAUCGCUGCUUCAUCAAGGGAUACUCGACCAAAGCGGCACCCUUGACCGACUUGUUGAAAAAGAACAGAACAUGGCAUUGGUCCAAAGAGUGCCAGCAUGCAUUCAAAGAGUUGAAAAAGGCUAUCUUCGAGGAUCCCGUCCUCGUUUUUCCGGACCACACGAAGCCAUUAGAAAUUCACACGAAUGCCUCUGACUUCGCCAUUGGUGUAGUCCUUAUGCAAGAAGGCCACCCAAUAGCGUUUGAAAGUUAGAAGCUCAAUAAUACAGAACGUCGUUACACCAUGCAAGAGAAGAAAAUGACUGCAAUCAUCCAUUGCCUACGAGUGUGGCAACACUACUUAUUUGGCUCAUACUUUGUGAUCUUAACAGCCAACGUAGCCACAAGCUACUUCCAAACGCAAAAGAAGUUGAGCCCCAAGCAAGUAAGGUGGCAAGACUUCCUUGCAGAAUUUGACUAUCGGCUCGAGUACAAGCCUGGAAAAGCCAACGUUAUUGCGAAUGCCCUAAGCCGCAAAGCAGAGUUGGCAACACUUAGCAUGAGCCAACCACAGUCCAACCUUGUCUCUCGGAUCAAAGAAGGCCUCCAAUAAGAUCCGAUAGCAAAAGACUUGUUGGGGAAAGUUCUCGAGGGCAAGACAAGGAGAUUUUGGCAAGAAGAAGACAUCCUCCUCACCAAAGGAGAUCAACUCUUUGUGCCUAGGUGGGGAAAUUUGCAUUGAGAAGUGAUCAAGGAGUGCCACGACUCAAAAUGGGCUGGCCACCCUGGAGUAUAAAGCACGACCGCAAUCGUCUAAGCUUCAUAUUUUUAACCGCACAUGAGAGAUGACAUCGAGGCCUAUGUGCGGACAUGUCUUGUUUGCCAACAAGACAAAGCGGAUCACCAACUUCCGGCAGGAUUGUUGGAGCCCCUGCCCAUAGCAUCAAGGCUUUGGGAAAGUGUCACCAUGGAUUUCAUUUCGGCCUUACCCAGGUCUGAGGGGUGCGGAAGCAUAAUGGUCAUGGUCGACCGCUAUAGCAAGUAUGCAACUUUCAUCACCACACCAACCGAUUGCAAAGCAGAUAAGGUUGCCCGUAAGAUGAAGAAAUGGGCUGAUUCUCGAAGGCGCAUGUCGAAUACAAAGAAGGCAACCAAGUGAUGGUGAAGCUCCUACCCCAACAGUUCAAGACUUUGUGGAAAGUCCAUAAAGGGUUAGUGAGACGAUACGAGGGGCCUUUCGAAGUAGUGCGACAUGUCGACAAAGUCUCGUACUAACUUCGACUUCUGCCGAUACUCAAGAUCCAUCCGGUCUUCCACGUAAGUUUGUUCAAGCCAUACCAUGCAGAUGCGGAAGACCCAAGCCGAGGUGAGUUAAGACGUACCCUAACUGCCGUUGUCACAACAUUUUACAAGGACGUAGAUUAUAUAAUCUUCGAUCAAGUCAUUCGAAGACGGGGCAUACCGGCAUACAAUGAGUACUUAGUGAAGUUGAGGAAUCCCCCCGAAAGCGAAGCAACGUGGGAACGUAAAGACGACCUAUGGCAAUUCGUGGAGCAUAUCUAGAACUACAAGCACAAGAACGCGAUAAGGACACUGCGAGCAUAAGUGGGAGAGGAUUGUCACGGGCCGCUCAAUUUUGCCACCAACGGAGGCUAAUUCUGCGUGCAUGGGUAUGUUUAGCAAAAGUCCGCCUCGAACCGAAGUGCGCUUAAAAACUGGGAUGUACUUAGCACAAAAGGCGAGAUGCACUUAGAAGCGGGAUGCGCUUAGAAGUGGGUCGCCAAUAUAACAAGUCUUCUGUGGCCCAAGAUCUAGACUUCUCUACAAUUUGUAAAUAGUUAGAACUUUCUAGGAUUUUUCACUUAGCCCUUAGGAAAUAUUUGUGCAAGUUGCAUGGAAACUUCAAGAACCUUGCACCCAAGUCUAUAAAUAGGGGUGAGCCCUCUCAUUUGCCCACCAACCACCACACACACAAACACUCAAGCACACAUACAAGCUCUCUUGUAAUUUAUUCUGUGUGUAAUAAAAUAUAUUUUAGCCACAUUGCUCUCUUCUCUCUAGCAUUUUCCACAAAGCAUUCUUGUUUGGCUAGUUGAGAAGUUCGAAAAGGCUUACUUAGCGACUUGUAUGCUAGAAGUCGCCUAAGUGCCGCACGGGUUGCUGCACAAUAAAAACUCAUCCCGUGACACAUUACUCAUAUAUUCAUAUACCAGUAACCUCAUGGAAUCCUCAAUGCAGUAACCAAUUAACCAAAUUAAGUUCUUGUGAUGAGUUAGGCUGAUCACAUGCAUCUCUGCUCGAAAUUCUCUCUCACAAUCCGUCACCAUUGACCCCAGCCUCUUCACGACUACAAACUUUUCACCUUUGUGUAAGGUCCCUUUAUAAACUGUUCCAAAAGAGCAUUUGCCCACACUCUUCUUUGAAUCUGUUGGUUGCUUUCUUAAGCUCAUUAUAAGAAAACGAGCAUGGAAUUAAGUCAUUAGUCAAGCCAAAGUUUCCAAUUUUCAGCGGCCAUUUCUCUUUAACAAGUCGGUACUGGUAAAUGAAAAAAAAAAAGAUGGCAAGGAAAACACAUGAACACAUGAUGAAGCCUACAAUCAGUACCAGAACUAGUACUAUUUCCUUUUUGCUAGUGAUUCUAUCCGACAGUAUAACGUCGCUUUUGAAUUUUUUUAUGCUCAUCUUGAAAUAAGCUUUGGAUGAGGAUGACUCUCCUUGACGUGUCCGAACAGAUUUUAGUGGAAGCUUGUGUUUCAUGCAAUAACCUGAUUCGUACAAAGCAGCAUCACAUUCACAGUCCUCUAAACAUGAUUUUCUGCACUCUUCUUUAAGCAUGUAUUUCCUAAAAUAUGGAUAAUCAUCCCAUGUUAUAUUAACUAUAGAAGUCAUGUUAUAUGCUGCACUUCGAUUGGUACUUCUGCAUCUUUCUUUAAUGAAGUUCCUAGCACAUCCACUAGAGAUUUUGUUAAUGUUUAAAAAAUCCAUUCUAAGAAGACAACCACACAUGGGUUGGUUGUCAUACCAUGUGCAAUAGUUGUUCAAAACGCAAAAGUUCUUCACAUGACACAAAUCCUCCGGUUCUUCCAAUUCAACAUGGCCUAGAGUUACACAGUAAAUAACUGAGCUAUUAUUAUUGAAAGACGAGUCAGAGUACAGUGACCAGAUUUCUGAUGUGCUGCUGUUAAGAAGCAGCAGUCUGGCAUUAUUAUCAAGAUAUAGAUGAAAUUGUUGAUGGUUGUCAGCAUCAUUGGCUUGAUAGACGUCAAUAUUAUCAUCUAUAGUAUUUUUGGGGUACAAAAGAAGAUUUCCAUCAACUCGCAUAUUCAGACAAUACUUGUUUGGGCAUUAAAAGGGCACUAGCUGGGCAUGUCCCAAUUUCCUAGUCCUCAACCAAAUGUUAUGAGUAGUUUUUUGGUGGAAGUAUUCUCCGCGGUACACCUAAUGACCGAUCAAAGGCAUGUACCGACUAGAAAUAUGUCACCCAGAAAGAGGGCACAAUCUCAUAUCAAUGCAACAGUUUCGCCACAUCCCAAACCAUUAGAAAAAAACACGACACCCCACGUCGCCCACUUUUGACUAUUGAGAUCCGUAAGGACCCUUGAUCGCCCAAGUAUGACGGGCGUGGGAAAUGUUCUAGGGAUACUGGAUGAUUGCUUAUAAAAGGUCAAAAAAAUAGAAGGGAGGGGGAUAGAUAAAAAAAAAAAAGGGAAAACUCUGCCAAUUUGAUUCCAGCAUUUAUUUCUAAAACACUUUUCUUUCAUUCAUUUGUGAUUAGUUUGCACGUGUCUUAAAAUACAACAUUUUUCCUGAAACCCUGAGUACUGACUUAAGCAUCGGAGGGUUUUCUCCGAAAAAACCACCAGUGCCUCUGAUUUGUUUCUAUGAGCGCAAGUCGUGAAGGAAUAGGGAAAUUGAUUUGAGUCUCUAGGUUCGUACAAUUGGGAAAGCAUUAGGAGUGCAGUGUUCCAGUCAUUGUCAGUACAACCAUUGGUAAUUCAAUUUGGUCUAGCAAAGGAUGACCAGAUUUCCGCAUCAAUAUUUUGGCGCCGUCUAUGGGGAGGUGAACGAAAAACUACCACAAAUGUAGCAACUAGUGGCAUAAAGGAGAACGAGUCAUUAUAGAUAUGGCGAGGAGUGGCGUUCAAGGGGGGUGAUAAUGAAACCAAUGAGAUUAUCACUCUUUGAGAAAUAGCGAAUGAAGCUAGGGAAAGAGUGAUGCAAGAACGGAUGGAAAAGCAGAUGGAGACCCUUACCGCCAUACUACAUGAGCUGAGGAAUGAGAGAAUGAAGGAUUAUAAGGCUACAACGAUUAGAGACGAGGUUGUGGCGGAACCCAGCUAUCGAAAGCAUGGGAAUGAGGAGAUUCCUCUGUUAGGGGGACAGCCCGAUGGAGCGCAUGCUCAUAGAGAUGCAGUCUAGACUCUGGGAGAGCAUGGGAAUGAGGGGAGAGAUCAAUCCCGCAGUGGGCAAAUCUGUGGAAGUGGUACCCGAGGAGCAAACGUUGAGGAGAAUGAGCUCAGAUUACGGUUGCACAACAUUGAACAGGAGCGUGAUCAGGUUGCAGCACGUGAUCCUGGUCGGGCUUUGGAAUUAGAGGGGGAAGUGCGACUGUUGUGAAAAAUUUUAAUAUACUUGUAAGCGCACAAAUCUAGAAAUAGAGUAGUGGUAACGAGGUCGAUCCCACAGGGAUUUUUAUAAAUUGAAAAAUCUAAUUUAAAUCUAAAAUUACUAUUAAUUCCAACCUAGUUGACCAAAUUGAGUUUCUAAGAAAAUUAAACCAAUUCAACUAAGAAAGCAAUUAAAAUAAAGGAGAAUUCAAUAAGAUAAAAAUUACCAAGGUUUCGGAAUCAACCACUAUUCAAUUAGUAAUUAUCUAAACAUUAAUUAAUCCCCAAUUUUAGAGUGACAACUCGAAAUCAAUUUAUGUCAUCUCAUAAAUAUAACAAUUAAGUCCAAUUAAAAUUAAUCUUGUGUAGGUUCUUUUUCUGCUUAAUAAUAUGACAUCUAAGUAUCUCAUGUAAACAUCUUGAAUAACAAAGAGUCAAAGUUUCCAUAAGCACUCUACGUAAAUAAUUUAAUAAAAGAUAUAGAAUCAAAGAUAAUCAUGUAUAAACUUUAUAGAUCCAAUCAUAGAUUUAAUUGAAUAUUAAUCAUAAUAAUCAAUAAUGCAUGACAGAAUUGAUGAAAAGAUUUUAAUAACAUCCAAUUAAUCAUGUGAAAUAAAAACCAUAAUCAUUAAAGAACAUAUAUAGGGAAUUAAAUAAAUAAAAAGAUAAUUAUUUCAUUGAACAUGGUUUCAUCUUUAACCUCAGUAUAAGAAAAUUAGUUAGACAUACUUGAAUAAGGAGCAACAAAAGAAAUAAAAUCAGCCAUGAAAACGCGACUGCCCUCCUCUCCCAAAAGCCAAAAGCUUAGCUUUCUUAUAUAGCCUGUAAAAUGGGCCCCACCUUGUCAAUUCUAAAGCUAAAAGGGUUUGGCCUUUUAUUUGUUUUGCUUCACUCAUGUGGGCACUUUAAAUUGUAAUAGGUUUCUUUUUUCCAUUUAUGAAAGCCAAGUGGGGUCCCUUCUUAAAGCUAAAAUCAAUUUCUCUCUUUUGUCCGCAUGUGCAUGAUGAAUUAACUUGUUGAAUUCGGUUCCUUGGCUUGAUUUCCACAUGCAUGUAUGUCUAAUUCCUUCCAAAAAAUCAAUUAAUCUUUAAUGCUUCCAAAAUUGAGUUCGUUUAUGUCCUUUUUAUCCAUAAUCUCCAAUUAAUCCCCUAUUCAAUAAAAUAAUUUAAUUAAUUAAAAAUAACAAAUGAAAAUAGCUAGCAAUUAUAUAAUUAAGGGUAAAAUAUGUAUAUAAAUUAUGUUCAUCAGCGACAAUUGGCACAUGUGAUAGAUAAGAUGCAGGGCAGAAGAAAGCCCCCUAGCUGGAGAAUAAUGUUGGAUGACGAAUCUCCACUCUCAGCGGAGAUCAUAGGCACUAUGAUCCCGAGGGAUUUCCGUUUCCCCGACCUCAAGUAUUGCAGGAAAAGUGACCCGUUAGUGCAUAUCGAGCGCUUCAACAACAUGACAGUGGUUCAGGGGCUAACGCCAGCAUAGAGAUGCCGAGUAUUUCCCCUGACGUUGGAGGGGCGAGCCCAAGACUGGUACCGCAAGUUGUCAAGCGAAAGUAUAAAGGGUUUUGAACAAAUGUGUCAAGAGUUAGCCGAGCAGUUCCGAGGAGCAGUAGCCCAAGAGGACGAUAUGAUGGAGUUAAUGGGAAUGAAGCAAGAAGAACACGAAUAGCUGAGGGAUUUUGUGAAAAGGUACCACCAGGCCAUACUUGAAUUGGAAGCCUUCAAUCACCCUCAGGCGUUGAAAGGGUUAAAAGAGGGAGUGAAGAUAGGUCGACUCUGGUACAAUCUAGGAGUGUUCAGAAUCCGAUCCGAUCCGUUCAAUCCAUUCGAUCCGUAAAAAUCUGAUCCUGGGAUUGGUGGAUUGGAUUUAAUAUAAAAAGGUACUUGUUUAAUGACGUCCAGCAAAUGAAUGUUGACUUUCACUUGUUUAAAGAUAUCAUAAAUUUAUGGACUGUGGUUUGAAUUUUUGACUUGAUCAAUGCUUGAGGAAAUGGGGGUACAGAAGAAGAGUUGGUUAUUUCAUCAUGGGUUAAAGGUUCGACAGACUCUUCUCUAUUUUCUAAAAUUGAAUCUUUACUAGUUUCACGAGGGUCCAGAAUGUGUUUUCCAACAACUUUACCACCACAAAGGGUUAUAACCUAUUUGACUUGGCUCAUAUUUAGUUUCCUGAAUUUCCUAUUUGACGAUAUUGUUGACUUUUGGGGUUUGGUUCAGGUUAAGUAGGAAACUUUUCUUUUUCAUGCAUGGUGAGAGCAGAUGUAAGUUUGGAGACAGUUUUUGUCAAAUUGGUUAAGCUUUGCAUCGUUUGGUUCUUGUUUUUCAAUAAACGAAUGCAAUGUGUCUUCUAGAGUUUUUCUUGGUGGUGGGACAUGUGGAGGGUAACUCUGAGAUUUUUGAAAAUUUUAACGUAGAGAAACUGGUUGUGAAGAUUGUGCAUGAUUGUCACUGCUGUACGGCCAAGGCGGAUGUACGGUACAGCAGCUGUAAAAUGGGCCCCCCCUUGUCAAUUCUAAAGCUAAAAGGGUUUGGCCUUUUAUUUGUUUUGCUUCACUCAUGUGGGCACUUUAAAUUGUAAUAGGUUUCUUUUUUCCAUUUAUGAAAGCCAAGUGGGGUCCCUUCUUAAAGCUAAAAUCAAUUUCUCUCUUUUGUCCGCAUGUGCAUGAUGAAUUAACUUGUUGAAUUCGGUUCCUUGGCUUGAUUUCCACAUGCAUGUAUGUCUAAUUCCUUCCAAAAAAUCAAUUAAUCUUUAAUGCUUCCAAAAUUGAGUUCGUUUAUGUCCUUUUUAUCCAUAAUCUCCAAUUAAUCCCCUAUUCAAUAAAAUAAUUUAAUUAAUUAAAAAUAACAAAUGAAAAUAGCUAGCAAUUAUAUAAUUAAGGGUAAAAUAUGUAUAUAAAUUAUGUUCAUCAGCGACAAUUGGCACAUGUGAUAGAUAAGAUGCAGGGCAGAAGAAAGCCCCCUAGCUGGAGAAUAAUGUUGGAUGACGAAUCUCCACUCUCAGCGGAGAUCAUAGGCACUAUGAUCCCGAGGGAUUUCCGUUUCCCCGACCUCAAGUAUUGCAGGAAAAGUGACCCGUUAGUGCAUAUCGAGCGCUUCAACAACAUGACAGUGGUUCAGGGGCUAACGCCAGCAUAGAGAUGCCGAGUAUUUCCCCUGACGUUGGAGGGGCGAGCCCAAGACUGGUACCGCAAGUUGUCAAGCGAAAGUAUAAAGGGUUUUGAACAAAUGUGUCAAGAGUUAGCCGAGCAGUUCCGAGGAGCAGUAGCCCAAGAGGACGAUAUGAUGGAGUUAAUGGGAAUGAAGCAAGAAGAACACGAAUAGCUGAGGGAUUUUGUGAAAAGGUACCACCAGGCCAUACUUGAAUUGGAAGCCUUCAAUCACCCUCAGGCGUUGAAAGGGUUAAAAGAGGGAGUGAAGAUAGGUCGACUCUGGUACAAUCUAGGAGUGUUCAGAAUCCGAUCCGAUCCGUUCAAUCCAUUCGAUCCGUAAAAAUCUGAUCCUGGGAUUGGUGGAUUGGAUUGGAUUGAAAUUUUAAAAAUCCACAGUCGGUGGAUUGGAUAUGGAUUUACUUCUGUGAAUCCGCAAAAAAAAAGAUAUUUAUUUAUUUAUUUUUAAAAAUAUUAUAAAUUUAAUUAAAAAUAUUAUAAAUGUGACAUUACAUAGUUACAUAAGCACCAUAACAUAACUUAGCCAUUACCUAAUAAAAAUAUAUUACAAAAAAUAAUUAAAUAAUCAAAUAUACAAAUAUAACUUAUAAAAAUUAUAAAACAAAAUAAAAACAAAGUCACAUACACUAGCAAAAAGUAAAGUAAUCAAGUCACCAACAAUUUGCAAAGUCAUCCAAAAGUAAAGUAACAUAACGCUAUUGUCAAAAAAAAAAAAAGGUAACAUAACCCAAAAGUAAAGUAGCAUAACGCCAAAAGUAAAGUAGCAUAACGCAAGUCAGUGGUCACUAACAAUUUGCAAACAAAAAAACCCUAAGCUUCCUGCUUCCCUGCCAUUACACGCACUAGCAACACCCAGUUCGAUACACUCUAGACAUCGAUUUGAAGGACAUCGGCCGCGCGAUUUUGGCAUUAUCAAGCCAUCUUCUUCCCUGAGCCCAUCAAGCCACUUCACAAUCACUGGUUCCAGCCAAAAAAUUUCACCAUCACAGCCUUCUCACUCCUCGAACCCUCGUGGCUCUUUUGGGUUUUUGUGUGUUUGUGCAAAGACCUCACCAAUUGAGAUAAUUAAAGUUAAAUUCUUACUUUCUUUUCGAGCUUAAUGAUAUGACUAAAUAAAAUAACAAAAGGAUGAAUUGUUGGGAUAAAAUUCGUUAGAGACAGAAGCAAGAUAAGUAUGGGCUGUUAACUUAAGUUUGUUAAGGAAAUAGUUUAGACUUUGUUUUGUGUAGGAGUGUGUAAUAAGGCUGGCUAUACAAUAGCUUUUUAUUAUUUAUAUGUAUCGGCUUGAAGUAGACGGGUGUGGAAAAAUUAUCUUAACAUUUUGAUUUCAAUAAAGAGGAAUUCCCCCUGGAAGUGGAUGCUAGUUUAACUUUCUUGUGUUUUUUUCUUCCAAUACUUAUCACUUAAUUUGUUCCUGUUAUUUUUCAUAAUUAAUUUUAAUGAUUUUUGCUAUUAUUAAACAAGAAUUUUGUGUUUAUGCAAAGACCUCACUGAUUGAGUUAAUUAAACUUAAAUUAUUACUUUCUUUUUAAGCUUAUUUUGUUCCUAUUAUUUUUCGUAAUUAGUUUUAAUGAUUUUUCAUAUUGGUGGUGUAGAUGACUUCUCAACUUGAUAAAGGAAAAUGCGUAGCUGUAGAUUCAGCUCCCCCAAGUUCUAAAUCAUCCAGUAAUGUUGAAGGUACGCCUAAUAAAUCCACUAGUUUAGAAGCUUGUGAGCAUUUUAUCUAAUUAAGUUCUGUUUUUAUUUGUCAAAAGUUGUGAACAAUUGGAAUGGUGCAAUCUUAGGGGGUCAAAAUAUGCAUUUGAGGUGUAGUGCACAUAUAUUAAAUCUCAUUGUUGCAGAGGGGUUAAAAAAGUAUCAUCAGUCGAUUUCUAGAAUUCGCAAUGUUGUAAUAUUUGUUAGAUUUUCACCUUCUAGGACACAAAAGUUUAAGGCAUAUGCAGAGCGAGAGAAAAUUUCGUCAAAUAAGUUGUAGUGUCUAGACGUCAUAACUAGAUGGAAUUCCACUUUUUUCAUCUUAAAGGCUACUGAAAAGUAUGAAAAAGUAUUUGAUCGGUUAGAGUUUCAUGAUGCACAAUACAUUCGUGAGUUUUGUUUGAGUAAGCCAAAAACGUGUCCUUCUUCAAUUGAUUGGGAAUAUGCUCAUUAUUUCAUUAAAUUCAUGAAGGUCUUUCAUGAUGCCACUUUGACAUUUUUGGGUUCUUUAUAUGUGACAUCCAAUACUUUUUUGCCCCAAUUAUGUUUGAUUCAUACACAAUUGCAAGCUUAGAGGGAUAAUAAAGAUUUAUUUUUGAAGAUAAUGGCUGAAAAUAUGACAAAUUGCUGUACGGCCAAGGCGGAUGUACGGUACAGCAGAUAUUGUUUUGUAGUGUUGUUUGGUGAAUUUAAAGUUAAUUAGUUGGUUGUUAAAGUGCGGAAUAAUUUAAAUAGUUUAUAUGAGGAAUACAAAUUGCUUUAUGGUGAUGAUGUGGAAAUAAUGGAUGUAGUAAAUGAUGAAAAGGAAUUAGAGGUUGAUACUGAGGUUAGGCAAGUGUUUGAUUCGGGUUAUAUGAGGAUUUUAAAAGAUACUUUUGUAGAGUGCAAAACAAAAGUGGAUCUUUACUUGUUAGAAUUUUGAUGUAUUGGAUUGGUGGAAGAUUAAUUCUUCCAAAUCCAAUUUUGUCUUAUGUUGCUCGAGAUAUUUUGGUCAUGCUUGUUUCCACUGUGGCAUCUGGGUCAGCAUUUAGCAUUGGUGGGCGUUUUCUUGAUCCACAUUGGUGCUCACUAUCUACAAGGACGGUGGAGACACUAAUUUGCACACAAAAUUGGCUACGUUCAACUCCGAUAAAUCUUGAUGAAGCAAUAGAUGAGAUUGAACAUAUUGAAACAGGUAAAAUGUAACAAUUUAACUUUAAUUUUAUUUAUUGAUUAUUAUUUGACUUUAUAUUGUUAUUCUAUUUUAAAAAUUGACAUUUUUCUUGUCUUAUACGUGCAGAGAUUAUAGGAGCUGACAAGAACAUAUUUGAUGAAGCUCGAUGGCAUUUGAUGGGAUAUAAGGGUAAAUAUUUAUAAAUUUGUUUAUUAAAUAAAUUUUUUUACUUGUUAUUUAUAUCAAUUAUGUUUAUUUUGUUUAGGUUAAAGUACGAAACACAAAUUAGAGAUGGACAUUUUUCCUUUUGGUGUGUUUUAUUUUGAGACUUUCAAUGUAUUAUUGUGGCUUUAUUUGAACAAUUAAUUUUGGUGUUAUAUUAAUGUAUUAUUGUAACUUUAUUUGAACAAUUAAUUUUGGUGUGUUAUAUUUUAAAACUUUGAACGUAUUAUUAUAGUUUUAUUUGAACAAUUAAUCUCGAUGUGUUAUAUUUUGAAUGUAUUAUUAAAACAAACAAUUAGUUUGUUUAAAUUUUAUUCAAUUUUAAAUUUAAUUAGUAGUAAAAUUAUUUUUAUAUUAGAUUUUGUUUUUUUAAUUUCAUUAGUUUAUGGAUUGGAGAUAACUAAAUUUUUAAUUCGCAAAUCAAUUCGCAAAAUGAUAGAUUUGGAUAUGGAUUGAGUUAAAUCAGUAUCCGAUCUGCAUACGUAUGGAUUGGAUAUAGAUUGAGUCAAAUCCGUAUUCGAUCCUCAGAUAUAUGGAUUGGAUUUGGAUUGAAUUUAAUCAAUUCGUGGAUUGGAUUGGAUUGAAAAAUUAUAAUAUGCAAAAUCAUGGAUUGGAUAUGGAUUGGUAUCUAAUCUGUAAAAUCCGAUCUGCGAACACCCCUACAAAGUCGUCUAAAAAGACAGUGAUGUUGGAUUUUAUUGUUGUGGAAGAAAAUAGUCCUUACCAGAUGAUAUUUGGGCGACUAUUCAUGAGGGUAAGCCAGUGUGUGAUGUCCACUCAUUACUUGGCAUUGAAAUAUAGAGUAAACGGGAUGGUAGGCGUAGUGAAGGGUGACCAAAGGAUGGCAAGGAGCUGUUAUGUUACAGCUGCAAAGGAGACCUUACAAGUUACUGCGCUCAAUAGUCAGGGGGACUCCAAGAAGGGUCGGCAGCAGCCAGUUUAAGCCAGGCAGUAAGGGACGGGCUAGUAAAGUGCUUACAAUCUCAUGCAGAUGUAUUUUCCUAGUCGCACGAAGAUAUGCCAGAAUUGAUUCGAGGGUUGCUUGUCAUAAGUUAGUAAUCAAAAAGGGGGCUAGGCCAGUGAAAUAGAAAAAGAAAUGUUUCACUUUUGAAAUUAUUUUAAAAUUAAAAAUAUGUGUAAUAUUAUUAGUGUACUAGAUGGAUUAAAAUAUUUAUAUUAUAUUUGCAUUUAUUAAAAGAAUUUUGAAAUCAAUCUUUUAGUUAUUAUAUUAAAGGAUAUUAUGGUCCAAAUGAGAUCUUGAUGGCUUUAAUUAAAACCUCAAGAGUCUCCACGACUAUUUUUCCAAAUUUUAGAGAUGUUGAUUUCCUUUUCGCGAAUAAUAAAACAAACAUAUACAUUCAUAGUUAUUAGAUUUAUGUAAAAUUUAGAUAAAUUUCAUAUUUAAUAUGAAAAUGCAAAUUGCACUUAAAUGAAAAAAAAAUUAGCAAUUCAUAAGAAUCUCAAAAUAAUAUAAUAAGAAUUUACUGAAAAAUAGUUAUUGAUAAAAACUAGGAAAUGAUUGUGAUUGUAAUAUUUUUUUUCCCCUCCUUACUCAUGAAAUAUUAUUGUUUGCUAAAUUACAAAAAAAAAAUUAUUUGAGAACUGUAGAGAGAGAGAGAGAGAAUCCUUAUUAUUUUAGGGGAGGUAGGUAUAAUAUAACUUUACUUUUAGAUAAAAAUAAGGGAGAUUCUCAAUUUCCCCUACUGUAAUUAAUAUAUAUCAUUUGACCCCUUAUGUUUUUAUAAUGACCGAUAACCCCUGACAACAUAGGUUCACAAUACUACUUUUAUUUUCAAAUGCCCUUUUAUUCAUAUUUAUUAUAAAUUAAAUAAAUCACAUGAAUGGAAAUUAAAAUAAAAAAUUAAGUAUUAAAAAUAAGAAAUAUAUAUUUUGAUGUGAAAAAUUAAUAAUAAAAUAUUUUUCUUGUACUUUUUUAUUUUAUAAACAUUUUCUUAUAAUAAAUAUUUUAAAAUUAAAUGUAAAAAGCACAAGAAAUUAUUUAUUCAUUUAUUAUAAAAUAAAUAAUAAAAAAUUUUCUUGUGCUUUGUACAUUUAAUUUUAAAAUAUUUAUUAUAAGAAAAUGUUUACCAAUAAAAAAGUACAAGAAAAUUUUUUUCUUAUUAAAUUUUUUAUUUAGUUUCUAUUCAUAUGAUUUAUUUAAUUUAUAAUAAAUAUAAAUAAAAGUGUAUUUGAAAAUAGGGAUGAUAUUAUAAAAUUAUGCUAUCAAGAGAUUAUUAACUAUUAUAAAAACAAUAAAGAAAUAAAUAGUAUACAUUAAUUACAGUAGAGAGAAAUUGAGAAUUUCCCUAAAAAAAUCUAUUAAUAUAAGGUUCCAGCUACUUUGCCCAAGGGCAACUAACCUGAUAUUUUUGUCUUGUACCUAAAUCAGCCAUUAGAUUAAUACCAAUCCAAUCUGAUGGCUUUCACUUAAAUGGCUUUAGUGGGACGCCGGCACAGUAGGUCGAGUAGAAUCGGGUGUUAUCCACUCUUUCUUCUGCUCUGUUCCCUCUCACUUUGUCUCUCUAUCUCCAUCAUCAAACAUAGAUAAUUUCUUCUUAAUUCUCUAAUUGUGAAUCCAGUCGAAUCACAUAUACGUAAUAAAUCAAAUCUCAUUAAUCAAGUUAACCAUCCAUGAAAUGAAACUAAAGCAAUUAGAGACUUGAUAUUCUCCUAACCCCAACAUCCUCAUUCACCAAAACCUAAGUUAUAUGCUAAGUCUAAGAAAAAUUGUUUUUGUGCGCAGAUGGCAUAAAAUAGAAGCACAAAGCAACGACCAUGAGUUGGAAUAUCAGUUGCCUACCGUGAAAGAUAGCGAAUCCAUUAAAAGAAUUAAUUAAUACUUUUUAGUCAAUUAUUCAUUCAAUUGCUCGGCUUGUAGGAUUUUGGUUAUAAAUUUUGGUUUCCAUAAGAAAUAUGACAGAUAGUUAAGGUGUACUGACAGGGUAACUGGAUACGCCUAUAUCACUGGAAGCUGAUUUGGCAUUGGAGUUUCAAUCGACGUGGCAUAUAAUGUCUAAAUAAUUGUUGUAAAAGAUAUUUAGGUUCUGUGACAUAAUUGUAACUUUAUGUGAUGAUUAGAUAAUUACUCAAAACACAUAAUGAUUGGAUGACUGACGACCACGAUAAUAAGUAAUUGUUAUGGUAGUUAUUUAGGUGUUUAAAGUUACUCCUAUGAAGCCAAAUGCCCAGAGGGGCUUAAUUUUUUGGCUACCAUCCUAUUAAGAACAACAAUUGCUUUCAUUCAUGGUUUGUGAGUGGAAGCUUAAUUUUUUAAGAACAAUUAAAGAUAUUUUGAGAAUUGAUGCUCUUAUUUAUUGUCCUUGGAUAAGAUGCAACAUAACUUUGAAAGACUCGCGUUGCUUGUCAAAUAAGUAGAAGAUAGUGAGAAACUAUUUUUCGGUCAACCUUAAGUUACAGUAUAUGUAACCUAGCAGCUGCCAUUUUAUGAUGCUUUUAGUUUGUGAAUUUUAAAAAUCAAUAAGCACGGAGGAAAGGAGAGGAGAGGGUGGAGGAAAGUGAGAACAAAUUGUUAUAAUUUAUUUUUAGAUUAAGGGCACUUUUGUCUUUUUAAGUGACAAUAGAUGACACCAAAGGAAAAUUUACUUAUUUAUUGGUCAAUUUACGGUCAAUUUUAUUUGGGUUAACUAUGUUUCUUGCAAUAAUAGAGUCGACUAAUUUUGUAAUUGAGACAGAAGAAUAACUUCAUCAAUAUGAAGUACAGUAGAAGCUUGUUAAUUUAUACCUGAUAAAUUAAUAAUCUCAAUUAAAUAAUAAUUUUUGUUAGUCUCAAUUUGGGAUGAACGUAAGAAAUUAAUAAUAUAAUAAAUUUAUUAGAUAACAAAUUUUCAAAGAAAAAUCUUGUUUUGCUAUAGGAUACAAUUAAUAUAUAACUUAAUAAUUAAAUAAUUUGAAACUAAAUACGUAUGAUAUGUCUAUAAGACUUUUGAAAAUAAGUUUCCAAUGUUGCUUGCUUCUGAAAUUAAUUUCGACUUGUAGCCAUUGUUAUAUUAAUUUAUAUUAAUAAAUUAUUAUUAAUUUAUUGAUAUAAUAAUAUUUAUUAAAUUAAUAAAUUUUUUAUGGUCUCAAUACUAUUAAUUUAUUAAGGUUCUCGUUGUGUAUUGGAAUUCGUAACAUACAAUUACAAUGGAUUCCUUGACUCAAAAAUCAUAAUCGUACGUGACAAAAUCCUUCAAUUCAUAAAAAGAAUGAGAGUUAAUUCAUAAAAAUCAAAUAAAAAGUGUGUUUCAGCUACUCGAAGGAGUUAUGUUACUCAUUGAAAGAAUCUGUUUGGUUUCUUCUCUCCCUCGUGUCCAAAUGAGAGCAAGAAUUGAGAGUAAAUGUUUGUAAAAGGAAGUCCCCACCCUUCCCCAACCAAAUCUUUGUUUUAUCAUGAAAUUUCAAGAAGAAAAUUAUUAAUUUUCCCUUGAAUUGUUUAAGUGUAAUUGGAUGUGAUCAGUGAUGUUGUCAUGUGGGUGCAAAUAGGUAUUUACAAGGACACUUCACGAUUGUCAAAUCCAGGCUUAUAGCAGACAAUUGUGAUCUCUAGCUGUCACACAUGUUUCCUCUAUUAUUAAAUUUACCGUAAUUUUAAUUUAUCAUAUAAUUAUUUUCCCUACCUAACCAUAUUAUAGUAACAAAUGACUUCUUUCGAUUUUCCAUAAAUUUUCCGACAUAUUCUUUCAACAAUUAUUUGUUUCUAAUGGGUUGUAGUAAUGGCACAAUUGUUGAAUAAAUUAUGCUUCUAGUUGUUACAACAAUUAACUUAUUAAUAGUUCUAUUUGUGCUCAGAAUUUUGCAUAAAGUUCACCAGCCAAAAAACUGGAAGAACAGGUUAAUGAAAUCUGUAACGUGGCUGCUCGAGGAUUUGUUGGGUUUCAGUAAUUGAUAUCCUAACAGUCGACAAAUUUGGGAUUACGUUCCCUCUUAGGCAACAUAGUUUUAGUUAUAAUGAUAUACAGUAAAAUCUUUAUAAUUUGAUACUCGAUAAAUUAAUAAUCUUUAUUACAUAAUAAUUUUUUACAGUCCCGAGUUAAGUCAACGGCCUAAAUUAAUAAUUUUAAUAAAUUAAUAAAAUAAUAUUUUUUUUAAAAACCUUUAUGCAAUUCUGUUGUCCAAUUAUAGCAUAAAUUAAUAAUUUACUAAACUUACAAAUAUCAUUUUUAUGAUAUUUUAUUAAAUAAAAUAUGACUAUUGUUAUUUUUUAAAAAUUUUAAAUAUAGAUAGAUCUCAUCUCUAUUUUUACUUAUUACUUCUAAAAGUUGUAAGGUUGAAUUUUGAAAUUGCAAGAAUUUUAAUUUUUUCAUUAAUUUAAUUUAAGCUUAAUAGAUUAAUUCAUUUUAAUUGAUUAGAUCGGUAAAAAAUAAUAAUUUUUUAGUUGAUUAAAAUAUACAUUUAUUGAAUUUUAUACAUAUUCUAUAAAUUAAUAAAUUUUAUACACAAUAAUCCCAAUAUCAUUAAUUUAUUGAGAUUUUACUGAUUUGUUUCUUUUAAAAUAUGUGAACUGUUUUAGGAUAGCGCGGCCAUAAUUACUGGAUCGUCAAUGUUCAACCAUUUGGCUUUCGAGUAGAACUUUCCAAGGAAAAAAAAAAAAAAUUGAUUGGACUUUAUUGCAUAUCCAAAAGACUCCACCGACAACACCAUUCAAUCAUUCAGCUGCCUUUACUGACUGCGUCUUUGGUUUACAUCACCAUUACAGGACAGCAUGAAGAAAAAACGUUGCAUCCACAUUGUUUUCUUAUUACUUAUUUAAUUGGAUCAGGAUUUUGUCACGUCUGAGUAGAAUUCACGAGAUUAGUGAUGAUUAAUAAAUAACAAUUAACAGAAGAAUCGUCUCCAUCCUUAAGAUUUUAGCAAACGUCUAUAUCUUUAAAAUUGGAAAGAUCUUAUUAGAAAGACUCUAAAAUUUUUAAUAAAGAUUAAAAAAUUUAAAUUCAUAAUAAAUAAAAACAUAAUAUUAAAAUAAAUAUAUUAAAAUUUAAAUUAUUUUAAAUAUUAUGUAAAAUAGUAAUUUUAAUAUUAUUAAUACAUGAGAUAUUUAUUAGUUAUAAAAUCUAUUUAACCCAAAGAUUUAUUUGAAAUCCUUCAAAUAACUAAAAAUAAAUUAUUAGAACAAACAUAAAAAUUACAUAUUUCAAAUUAAUAAACAUAAUAUUAUUAAAACUAUUUUAAUAGUUUUUAAUGUCCAAAGACUAUUUUAAUAGUUUUUAAUGUCCAAAAACUAUUUUAAUAGUUUUUAAUGUCCAAAGACUCCAACAACCAUGCAUUCAACUACUCAGCUGCGUUUUAUUGACUGACACUCGGUUUAAUUCAGGAUACGAAGAAAAUCUGCUCUAAAAGCCCUUCACUUGAAGUUUUUUUUUUUUUUUUUUUUUUUUUUUUUUUUAAUUUUUUUUUUUUUUUUUUUUUUUUUUUUUUUUUUGAAGUUGCAUCCAUCAUGUACACAUUUUGAGCACAGCCUAAUAAAAACCCUCAAAGUUUGAACACGAUAAAUUCCUUUUCCAUGAGCUGCUUGCCACUUUCUUAUAGCAUAAGGAAAAUUCUCGUUUGUCCGAAUGGGUGCCCGAAUAGGCAAAACCAAAACGAUGUCGUUCUGAGUUUGCGGUGUUUGGCCGCCCAUUCGAGCAGUCGCAUGAUUCGUGGCUUAAUACUCCUAACUGUUAGCAGCCUUAUUAUUUGUUGUUCCUUAAUUAAUUAGCUGUACCACUGCUAAAUUGACAGGCAAUAUGAAUAGGAGUGUCAACUCGUGUUCUCGUGUUAAAUUUAAAUAAAUGAAUUGACAUGAUGUUGAGGUGGUCCACACCAAACAAUGAAGAAAAUUUUGUAUUUUGUGUGAUUUAAAAACCCAUCACAUGAAGUUGAAACAAUCGUCCACACAUUCUGAGCACAACAUUGAGCAGCCGUAUCUUGUUCCCCGCUUCACGCUCAAACAUGCUAAAUUCCAAUUCCAUGAGCUGCCUUGCCACUUUAGUAUGGUGCUUUAGCUUGUUUUCAUUGCUUAAUUCUGAUAGUUGUUUCGCCCUUUCAAACGAGACAGAUCGUCUUGCUUUGCUUGCCAUAAAGUCACAGCUUCAGGAUCCACUUGGUGUUACAAGUUCAUGGAACAAUUCUAUCAACUUGUGCCAAUGGACAGGCGUGACUUGUGGUCAUCGACACCAAAGAGUAACUGAGUUAGAUUUGAGAAACCAAAGCAUAGGGGGUUUCUUAUCGCCUUAUGUUGGGAAUCUCAGCUUCCUUAGAGUCAUCAACCUGGCUAACAACGAUUUCUAUGGUGAAAUUCCCAAUGAAGCUGGUCGUCUGUUCAGGCUUGAAACUCUAUUGCUGACAAAUAAUUCUUUUUCUGGUAAAAUACCCACCAAUUUGUCCCGUUGCUCUAACCUCAUCAAUUUCCGUGUCCGCCGAAACCACCUUGUGGGAGAAGUUCCAGUAGAUAUUGGUUACAGCUGGUUGAAGCUUGAGGUAUUAUCCUUUGCAGACAAUCAGUUAACAGGCCAGUUCCCACCUUCCAUUGGGAAUCUCUCAGCUCUUCAAGUAAUUAAUAUUGGAGUGAAUGGAUUGAGUGGGAGAUUUCCUGACUGUCUAGGUCAAUUAAGAGAUUUAUACUACUUCAGCAUAGAGGAAAAUAACUUCUUUGGUACGUUUCCUGUUUCAAUUUUUAACAUCUCUUCCCUUCAGACGAUUUCUUUAGCGUUUAAUAGAUUCGAAGGAAGUCUUCCAGUUGACAUAGGUUUUAAUCUUCCGAAUCUGGCAUAUCUAAAUGUAGGACAAAACAAUCUUACAGGUACUCUCCCACAUUCACUGUCCAAUGUUUCAAACCUUAAGGGGCUUGAACUGUUUGAUAAUUCUUUCAGUGGGAAUGUGAGAAUUGAUUUUGGCAGUCUCCUGAAUCUAAAUUGGCUCAAUUUGAAAGACAAUAAUUUAGGUGGUGGAACAAUCAGUGAUCUUGAUUUUGUAACCCUUCUCACAAACUGCAGCAAAUUGGAAGCGCUUGAAAUUGGUUCCAAUAGAUUUGGAGGAGUGCUACCACAUUCGAUAGUCAACCUCUCAACAACUGUGACCAGUAUUGACAUGCAACACAACCAAAUAUCUGGCAGCAUACCUUUUGAAAUGAAAAAUCUUAUCAAAUUGAAUGCCCUUUAUCUGCAUUAUAACCAACUAAAUGGCAUUAUUCCUCAUACCAUUGGUGAACUCAGAAACCUACAAGCUAUGAGCUUGUCUGCAAACAACAUGACUGGGACCAUCCCUGACUCUCUUGGCAACUUGACAUUAUUGACUGGUCUUUGGCUAAGAAUCAACAACUUGAAAGGCGGUAUACCCUCAUCCCUUGGGAAUUGUCAAAAUUUGAUGGAAUUAUCUAUUUCCCAAAAUAGAAUCACUGGUGCCUUGCCAAAACAAAUCCUCGGCAUAAAGACCCUUUCAACUCUCCUAGAUCUGUCUGAUAACCUUCUUGGUGGUCCUAUUCCCGUAGAAGUUGGAAACUUGAAGAAUCUAGGUGCCUUGUAUGUAUCUAGAAAUCAAUUUUCCGGUGAAAUUCCUACUACUCUAAGUUCUUGUACAAGCUUAGAAUAUCUUGAUAUGCAUGAAAAUUCUUUCAGCGGUAGCAUUCCUUUUGCUUUGAAUUCUUUGAAAAGCAUUAAAGCGAUAGAUCUCUCAUGCAAUAAUUUGUCAGGUCAGAUUCCAAAAUAUUUCGAGAAUUUAUUGUUCUUGGAACUCUUAAACUUGUCUUAUAAUCACUUUGAGGGUGAAGUACCAACAAAAGGAGUUUUCAGUAGUAAAAUUAAUAUUUCUCUACUUGGGAAUGAGAAGCUUUGUGGGGGUUUAAAUGAACUGCACUUGCCACCUUGCCAUUCUACUAGACCAAGAAAAUCAACAGUCACUCUUCUCAAGGUUCUGCUUCCUGUGAUUGGGUCAGUUCUCAUCUUAUUAACAUGCCGUACUGUUGUUGAAAAUCGAAGAAGGAAACUUGCACAUAAAUCCUCAAGCACGUUGCGGGUGGAACAACGAUUUCCGAUGGUUUCCUAUGCGGAGCUAAGUAAGGCAACAAAUGAAUUUUCAUCAUCAAACAUAAUUGGUCAGGGAAGCUUUGGCUCCGUGUACAAGGGGAAUCUUGGUGAAAAUGCAAUGCCAGUAGCAGUGAAGGUAAUGAAUCUUAAGCAAAAGGGUGCAACCAAGAGUUUUGUUGCUGAAUGUGAAGCAUUAAGAAAUAUUCGCCAUCGAAAUCUCAUCAAAAUCAUCACUGUUUGCUCAAGCAUUGAUUUUAAAGGGAUUGAGUUCAAGGCUCUUGUUUACGAAUACUUGCCAUGUGGAAGUUUGGAGGAUUGGCUGCACCAGAGCAAUGAUCAACUUGAAGCAGGCAACUUAAAUCUCAUUCAAAGACUGAACGUAGUCAUUGAUGUGGCUUCUGUAAUUGAAUAUCUUCACCAUCACUGCCAACCGCCAAUUGUUCAUGGUGAUAUAAAGCCAAGCAAUAUUCUACUUGAUUAUGACUUGAUCGCCCAUGUAGGUGACUUCGGGCUUGCAAGAUUUCUUUCUGAUCGCUCACCUUGUACAAUUCUUGAAACUUCAUCAAGUUCAAUUGGGAUAAAAGGAACUGUCGGUUAUAUAGCCCCAGGUAUUUAUAUUCAUAUUUGACACUUUGUACUUUUAAAUAAUGUUAAUGUUUGAUUGUUAGUAUCUAACACAAAGAAUCCGAAAUGUCUUUUUCCUUUUCAAGAGUAUGGCAUGGGCGGGGAUGUGUCCAUGACAGGAGAUGUGUACAGCUUUGGAAUCUUAUUGCUAGAGAUGUUUACAAGAAGACGGCCAACCGAUAACAUGUUUAAUGACGGUUUGACUCUCCAUGAAUUUGCCAAGAUGUCUCUACCAGAAAAAUUAAUGGAAAUUGUUGAUCCUUCUUUGUUGUUGGACUUGAAACCAAGGGCGAGCAACUCUAGUAAUCCUGGAAAUUAUGGAGCCAAAAUCGAGGAGUGCUUGGCUACUAUAGUGAAAAUUGGAGUUCUGUGCUCAAUGGAAUCUCCAUCCGAGCGAAUGCAAAUAAUAGAUGUCGUGGCAAAAUUAGGUGCUGCUAAGGAGGUUUUUAUAGGUAGGAGGGCGUGAUUUGUAUAAAUUUCCAGUCAAAGUUAUUAAUCUUUAGUCUCAUGGAAUAAUAUUAAAUUAUAUCGGAGUGUAAAAUCUUAUAUUCCCGCUGAAUGCAUGUUACGAUCGAUCUGUGCAAUGCUUUUACUUUCGAUUUCUAUUUUUUAAAACAUGAUAAUCUACUGCUUUAAUAUACACUUUAAAAAUUACUCUAAAUACUUAUAUUUUAUUAAAGGGUGGGGUUAUUUGAAUUAAGUAAUAACUCUCUACACCCAUUUACUCUAUACACUCCAUUAACAAAAGUAUGAAAUAAGAAUUUUCAUCUUUAAACUUUCUGUAAUUCAAAAUUAACCCUAAUUAAAAACCUCAAUAUUUUAUUUCUAUACCUCCAAAAUUUUGUCCAUAUUCAUCAAAAUCUAAUUUCAUCUUUUUUGUUUUAGUAUCUUCUUUUCCAUUCUUAUGAUUCCCCUUUUUAUUUAUUUUUUUCCUACGAUUCCUUUCUAUAAACAGUAAUCAUUAAAAAGAAAUCACCUCCGGUAUAAACAAUCAUAUAGGUUAUAUAUAUAUAUAUGUAUUUCCAAAAAAUGACAACAUCAUCUUGAUUUAUUUGGUGGGCCUUUUUGUUUUAACAGUAUUCAUGAAAUCUGAUUUUUUUUUUUUUUUUUGUCUUUGGAUAGUUUAUGAAUAUGAUUUUUAUAAUUUCUUUACUAGAAUAUUUGUUGAUUUCUUUUUUUUUUCCACUAGAACAAUGAGAAAGGUUGAACUCUAUGAUCAAGUAAAUUGUAUUACUAUAGGUAAUUUUCGUCAGUCUCCAUAAUUCCAUUUACAUUGCUAUUCUUAUAAGGCUGCAAUUGCAAUGAAUGAUAAACAGACUAUUUAAAUUUACAAGAUAACAUGGAUGUGGAGAAGACAAAGAAACGGAAGAAGAAGAAGCAGAAGAAGAAGGGUGUUAAAAAGGCUUAUCUUUGUCUUAAAUAAUAAUUUUCUGUAUGGUUCUUUUUGUUAUAUUAAAUUUUACAAAAAAAGGUACAAAAAGUAUUUUUAUGGUUUAAAUAGCCCCAUCCUUUAUUAAAAUAAUUUAUUACAGAAAUACUCAUCAUGUGAAUUACUAUUAAGAACAAUUUAUUAUAAGUCAUGUAUAUUAUAAUUAUUUUGAAUACUUAUGAUAUAGUGCACUCAUUAUUCAAUCUGUAAUUCUUUUGCUUUAAAUAUUAAAAUUUUAUUUCCAGCAUCUUGAACAAAACUUACUUGGACAAUGAGCAAAUCAAUAUUUUAAAAUAUUUUGACUACAAGAUUUAUGAGACCCUUUUGAUUUUCAAAAUAAGAAAAAUGACAUCUACACCCCUAAGAUUUAGGAAGAUGGCCAUUAAGACCCUAAGUUUUUAGUAAGAGAUACAAAGACCCUUCUUUUUACCAUCAUACCAUUUGACUUUAUAAAUUCCAAAAAAAUUGACUUGAAAAUUUUAUAAUAAACAGAAAUAUGGUAUUGAAAUAAAUAUAAUAAUACAUACAUUUUAAUAUUUAAAAAAUAUUUUUAUAUUUCACAAUCUAUUAGACAUAUUUUAUUAUAAUUAAAGUAAAUUUUAAUAACAAAUAGAAACAUAAUACUAUAGUAAAUAAAUUAAAAUUAAAAUUAUUUUAAAUAUUAUGUAAAUAAUAAAUUUCGUAUUUAUAAUAGGGAUAUAUUUUGCUAAUUGUAAAAUCAAUUUAACCCAGAAAAUUAUUUAAAAUCUUUAUAAUAAAUACAAAUAUAUUAUUAAAAUAAUAUAAUAUUUUAAUAUUAUUUUAAAUGUUAAAAAUAAUUUAAUAUUAUUAGUCUACUAGAUAGACUAUAUUAUUUAUAUUAAAUUUGUAUUAGUUACAAAACUUUAAAGUUAAUUUUUUAAUUACUAAAUUUAAAGGGUAUUAUUGUCAAAAGGGGGUUUUGGUAUUUUUCAAUAAAAAAUUGAGGGUCUUUAUGAUCAUUUUUUUAAAUCUUGAGAUUUAAGUGUCCAUUUCUCUUCAAAACAUUAAAUUGAAAUAAACUAUUGUGAAGAUGGUCAAAUUUUUUAUUUUGAUUUGAAAAAAAAAAUGGAAAAUAGGGAGGAAGCUGAAACUGAGCCCAUAUAAACUGCUGCAUCCAGUAGCAGCAUCAUCUAGCUUCUUUUUUUUUCCCCCCCGUUAAAUCGCCAUUUCUUUUCAGUUGUUAUUGGGGGCAAACAAAAUUCAUUCUUCUUGAUGUUAAAAAAUUUGGGAGUGCAAAAAUCAUUAUUAAGCAUAUUCUAUAGUAAACAAAAAUAAAUAACUAAAAAUUAUGUUUAAAAAAUUUCUUUACAACUUCAAUUGAAUCUGUUUGUUGCAAGUAUAUGCUAAAUUUUUAAUUUUUAAAUCUUUUUCUGGCUUUGCUUGAUAGUUUUUUUUUUUGGUUGUUUUGAGUGAAUUAAUUUAAGUGGUUUAAAUUAGAAUAUUUUUAAUAUUUUAAUGAGUGUACAAAAUAAAAUUUAAAUUCUCAAAUUUAAUAAAUAAGUGCACAAAAUAGCAUAAUAUUGAAAGAAAUUUUUAAAGUGUAAAAGUUAUAUCAUUUUUCUUAUCACUAUUAGCAUCAAUUAGUUAAUGAUAAGAAAAAGACCGGUGCUGUUAUAGCACCUGAUAUUUUUAGUGAUUGACUACAGUUGACCAAUAUGAUGAGUACAUUUCUACCAUUUUUUCAAAAAGUAAAUAAAAAUGAAUGAUUUUUUAAAAUACCCCUAAUUGAUGCUCUAAUUUGAAUUCGGGACAAGAAAAGGGUUUUGGCGCGCCUUGAUGACAUACAAUCUAAUAGAGACUCAUUAGUGAUUACGAACAUUAAUCGGGGUUGUAGUGAAAUUUACCCUAACUAAUUAUUUAAAAUUAAUAUUUUCGUAAAUUUUCAUCGCAUGACACGUGUCACGCACUAUUUAUAACCUCGCGCAAAGGGAAAGCAUUAGAACACGGUAGCAACUCGGCCUUACCCUGAUGAGUUUCCAUUAUUUUAUCUUUUGUGACAGGACUCUUAUGAGUUUCCAGAGCAGAAAUGGAACAAAACAAACUCUCAAAAAACAAAACAGUGGGAGACUAUGCAUUAAAAUCAAAAAUUGGAGAGAGUUCAAAUUCACUCUCAACAGUGUGGAAAGCGGAGCACUUGUCAUCAGGUGAUGUGGUGGCCGUGAAGCAAGUUUAUGUUGAAAAACUCAACAAGCACCUCAAGAGCUGCUUGGAUUGUGAGCUCAAUUUCCUCUCCUCUGUCAAUCACCCCAACAUAAUUCGCCUUUUUGACGCUUUCCAGGUGAGCCCUUUAAAUGGAAAUUUCAGAUUCUUAAUUGCCUUUCUUGCGUUUGUUGAAUUUGAGUUUCUUUGAUUUGGGUAAUGUAAUUUAUUUAUAUUUAGUUCAUUGGUUUUGAUUUUUAGCCUGUUUGUGGGAUAUCCAUUUAAUUAUCUUUGAUAAAGGAUCGUCCCGUAUGAUUUUGCUUGAUUUGUUGUAAGAGCAUAACUGUCUGCUUAAUUUUUUUAAUUUCAUUUUUGGAUAAGCUGUUGGAUACUUGUCAAGUGUUUGCUGAAUUGCAUUUGUUAACUGAUUGUUCAAAUCAGCUUGGAGGUCUGAAAAUGUAUUUUUAGAUUUUUCUUUAAUUAUUUUGGAGAUAAUAGUUGUUAAUUUAGUGUAGAUUUAUCUUGGAAUGCAGAUUCAUUAAUUCAUUAGCCUGUUGGUUAAGUUGAUUUUAUCAAUUGGAUAUUCCAUAAAUGACCAUUAUUUUUUAUCAUGACAUGGAGAUGCAAAUUGCUUAUUAGAGAAAAGGAUGGUCUUAAUGUUCAAACUAUGCUAUUUUUUGUGGUUCUUUUAUUUUCUUUUCUGACUAUUUUUAGCUAACUUAUUUUAUACCUUGAAUUGGAAAAUGCAAAUGGUUGAUUUUAGCUAAUCAAUUUUAUUAUUUAUACCUUGAAUUGGGGAUGCAAAUAGUUUAUGUAAGAUAAGAUGUGUUGGAAUUAAGCAUACUUUUUGGAUUUCUAUUUUCCUGUCCCUCAUACACAUUUUUGUUAUUAAAUGGUCUGGCGGCAUGCCCGUUGCAUGCAAAUUACAAUUUAAAAUAAGUGAUUUCUUGAUUGUCCAAAUCUGUUCGUACUUAGGCAUAUUUGUCUUAGAGCUACACCAUUCCCUUAAUAAAGAAAGCCGUAUAGGCUGUUGCAAAUGAUAUAUAAAUCAUUUAUGUAACGAUAGUACUAUGACAAAUUGAAGUUGGCUGCCUCUGCUGUCAGGCUGAAAAUUGUAUAUUCCUUGUGGUUGAGUUUUGUGCUGGGGGUAAUCUUUCAUCUUACAUUCGGCUGCAUGGAAGGGUUCCAGAGCAGACUGCCAGAAAGUUUCUUCAGCAGCUCGGUAGCUCAUUACCAGCCUUUGGUCAAUAGUUGUGCAUUUUUGUUGCUCCAAUCACUUCCCUGUAUCAAGUAAGAUAUAAAAGAAUGUGACUGAAUCCUUGAUUCCUUGUUGCAGGAGCAGGUUUGGAAAUUCUAAAUUCUCACCACAUUAUCCAUAGAGAUUUGAAACCAGAGGUAUGAAGAGUUAUGUGUUGUGGUUUAUUGUCUUGAAUUUCUAACUUAUUUGGAAAAUUUUGUUUCUCUAAAUGAUUCUAUGAACAUGGAAGAUGCCGCUUACCAUUAGUUGUUUGCGCAGUGUGGCCCUGUUCUUGUUUGCUCUUGCAGUUUUUCUGUGAACAUGUUGUAUGUCAUCCCCUGCACCUUCUACUUCUUUCUUUGUGCUGCUACCUGGUUCUCUCUGUUCCAUGAGAAAUAUACCAUGAAUAACUAAAUGAGAGUCUUGGUUGGUGCUAAUCAUAGAGGAUGGAGUUCCCUAGAGGAUUGUGGUUGCUUUAUAUGGUUUGCUCUUUAGUGUGUUUGUCAAGAAAGUGAUGAAAUCGAGAAAAUGAACAAUCUUGCACAAGCUUAAAGUUUGAUGAGCUACUAUUUUGUGCUCCUAUUUUGGGAAGUUCAAAGGAACUUUGAACGUCGUCAGUGAUUGUAUAGUUGUCACUAAACUGCCAAAUUUUCAGUGUUUCUACACAUGAAUUUUCUUUAUUUUAAUUUUAUAUGUUUUCAUUUUAAAACAUUGUAUGUUUUCGAGAUUGUAAGUUUUUAAAUUGACUUUGCUGUUGCUUUUGGUGGAACAGAACAUUUUACUAUCUGGCCUAGAUGACGAUGUGAUGCUCAAGAUAGCAGAUUUUGGUCUUUCAUGGUAAACUUUUAGUAGAAGGAUACAAAUAUAUUGUGCGAGGAUAGUUCUUAUUUUUGACAAUGUCCUGGAAGUGUGUUUGAAUGUUGACUUUUUCUGUUCUUUUGUUUCUAUUGUAGUUUUAAAAUGUAAACAUUAUGCAGAAGUUUCAUUCUUGAAAAGUCUGGAGCUUAAAAUUGACUGUUUGCUUCAUAUUUUAAGCAGCACCCUGUAUCCAGGCAAUUACGCUGAGAAAGUUUGUGGAUCCCCAUUAUACAUGGCUCCUGAAGUUCUCCAAUUUCAAAGAUAUGAUGAGAAGGUGAAUUUCUUUGUUUCCUAGAUAUUGAUUCUGUGCUAUUAAAAUGCAUCGGAAUUUACUGAAAGUUUUAAAACUUUCUUUGUAGGUUGAUAUGUGGAGCGUUGGGGCAAUUCUUUUUGAGCUUCUUAAUGGCUACCCACCUUUCUCUGGUAGGAAUAAUGUCCAGGUAGCGUAUUUUUGCAUAGAUUAAUAUUCCUAACAGUGAGCUAGCUUGAAUCUUAGCUAAUAAGUUUUUUUUUUUUCAGUUGGUGAGGAACAUCAAUUCAUGUAAGCAUCUUCCAUUUUCUCAGCUUAUCGUCCCUGCUUUGCAUCCAGAUUGUGUUGAUAUGUGCUUAAAGCUACUUUCUGCAAAUACAGGUAUCAUCUACUCCAUAUUUGAGCUUCAUAUAUUAACAUUCACCAGAUAAUUAUACUUUUAUUUACUCCUGGUUUAUUGCAGUCAUCCCUUACAGUCUUCUCAAUUCAUUGCAGUGGAUCGUUUGUCCUUCAACGAAUUCUAUCACCAUAGAUUCCUGAGAAGGAAUAGUGCAAUACUAAGAGCACCUUUUCAUAUCCCAUAACUCUGAGUCUCUGACUUCCCUUGUGUAUUGAAUUGGGCAUCCUUAAUUACGUCUCCUUUGACACCUCCUUCAGCAUAUCAGUUGCUUCUCAGAAUGCUAAUAUUUCUACAUUGCAGACAUUGUUGACCUCAUUUACAUUGACGUCAAUCGAGGUUGUCUUCAUUGUAUCUUUUGGGGAACAUUCAUAAAUACUUGUUUACCAGUCUAGUACAU
This 31671-nucleotide long non-coding RNA is filed under the name Citrus sinensis (sweet orange). RNAcentral describes it as "long non-coding RNA (CSIN_LNC000064)". The record is from RNAcentral. Lineage: Eukaryota; Viridiplantae; Streptophyta; Magnoliopsida; Sapindales; Rutaceae.